Mesoplodon densirostris (Blainville's beaked whale) is the source of this 106-nucleotide small nuclear RNA. The record is from RefSeq and is a predicted model, not a curated record. Lineage: Eukaryota; Metazoa; Chordata; Mammalia; Artiodactyla; Ziphiidae.
GUACUUGCUUCGGCAGCACAUAUACUGAAUUUAGACCAAUACAGAGAAGAUUAGCAUGGUCCCUGCACAGGAUGACAAGCAAAUUCGUGAAGCAUUCCAUAUUUUU